Molecule: ribosomal RNA, 497 nt
Filed under: uncultured bacterium
Lineage: Bacteria
Description: partial 16S ribosomal RNA
Rfam family: Bacterial small subunit ribosomal RNA
Source: RNAcentral
GAUGAACGCUGGCGGCGUGCCUAAUACAUGCAAGUCGAGCGAACAGACGAGGAGCUUGCUCCUCUGACGUUAGCGGCGGACGGGUGAGUAACACGUGGAUAACCUACCUAUAAGACUGGGAUAACUUCGGGAAACCGGAGCUAAUACCGGAUAAUAUAUUGAACCGCAUGGUUCAAUAGUGAAAGACGGUUUUGCUGUCACUUAUAGAUGGAUCCGCGCCGCAUUAGCUAGUUGGUAAGGUAACGGCUUACCAAGGCAACGAUGCGUAGCCGACCUGAGAGGGUGGUCGGCCACACUGGAACUGAGACACGGUCCAGACUGCUAGGGGAGGCAGCAGUAGGGAAUCUUCCGCAAUGGGCGAAAGCCUGACGGAGCAACGCCGCGUGAGUGAUGAAGGUCUUCGGAUCGUAAAACUCUGUUAUUAGGGAAGAACAAAUGUGUAAGUAACUAUGCACGUCUUGACGGUACCUAAUCAGAAAGCCACGGCUAACUACGUG